Molecule: unclassified non-coding RNA, 313 nt
Filed under: Hevea brasiliensis (rubber tree)
Lineage: Eukaryota; Viridiplantae; Streptophyta; Magnoliopsida; Malpighiales; Euphorbiaceae
Source: RNAcentral
GUUAAAUAAUUCACUUAGUUUACUGACAAUGCAAAAUCUCAUGCUACCACUUUGUCAAAAAAUAAACCACAGAAUCUAAACUGGAAAUGAGCAAAAUCAUAGGGUAUAUUCUUGUAAUUUCUAUUUUUUUAUUCCACGUAAGCAUAUUUCUCUUCCAUGUCAGUACUUUUCUGUUCCAUAUCAACAUCUUUUAAUGGAGAGAGGAUGGAAAGUCAUCAUUUGCUAACAAUGCAAAACCUCAUAAUACCACUUUGUUACAAAGUGAAUCACAAACCUUGAAUUCAAAAUGAGUGAAACUAUAGGGUAAUUUUUU